GAUGAACGCUGGCGGCGUGCUUAACACAUGCAAGUCGAACGGAGAAAGGGUAGCUUGCUAUCUUUUCUUAGUGGCGGACGGGUGAGUAACGCGUGGGUAACCUGCCCUUUGCAGGGGGAUAACAGUGAGAAAUCACUGCUAAUACCGCAUACCAACUUCUUUCGCAUGAAAGAAGUUUGAAAGAUUUAUCGGCAAAGGAUGGACCCGCGUUGGAUUAGCUAGUUGGUGAGAUAACAGCCCACCAAGGCAACGAUCCAUAGCCGGCCUGAGAGGGUGAACGGCCACACUGGGACUGAGACACGGCCCAGACUCCUACGGGAGGCAGCAGUGGGGAAUAUUGCACAAUGGGCGAAAGCCUGAUGCAGCGACGCCGCGUGAAGGAUGAAGGUCUUCGGAUUGUAAACUUCUAUCAGCAGGGAAGAAAGGGCCUAUGGCCUAUGACGGUACCUGACUAAGAAGCCCCGGCUAACUACGUGCCAGCAGCCGCGGUAAACAUACUCG
RNAcentral lists this ribosomal RNA (501 nucleotides) under uncultured bacterium. Its description in RNAcentral is "bacterial SSU rRNA". It matches the Rfam family "Bacterial small subunit ribosomal RNA", at positions 28 to 531 of the family's 1533-position model. The record is from RNAcentral.